CUCGUGUUGAUCAGCUACAAGCCGGGUUUUUGCAUCUACUAUCACGGAGAUCUACAGAACACGUCGGAUUUUUUUUGCAACUAAUACGGAGAUCUACAACGAAGCUACAGCGAGAAUCCCAAGGUACAAUCGUUAAUUAAGUUGAAACAAUCUUUUAAGUCGUUUCGUGUUCCUUCUAUUCCACACGAAGCCUAUGUUCUUAUUCUGCGCUUGCAUGUUCAAAAUAUGCUGAAACAACCAUGAAUAGCCAUCGAACUGAAGAUCCUAAAACACCCUACCAACAACUUCCACUCCAUCAACUUCCACUUUGCCCAGCUCAGUUGAAGUUAGUC
RNAcentral lists this long non-coding RNA (332 nucleotides) under Sorghum bicolor (sorghum). RNAcentral's name for it is "long non-coding RNA (SBIC_LNC004254)". The record is from RNAcentral. Lineage: Eukaryota; Viridiplantae; Streptophyta; Magnoliopsida; Poales; Poaceae.